Molecule: small nuclear RNA, 147 nt
Organism: Talpa occidentalis (Iberian mole)
Lineage: Eukaryota; Metazoa; Chordata; Mammalia; Eulipotyphla; Talpidae
Product: U4 spliceosomal RNA
Exons: 1
Source: RefSeq, a predicted model, not a curated record
AGCUUUGCGCAGUGGCAGUAUCGUAGCCAAUGAGGUUUAUCCGAGGCGCGAUUAUUGCUAAUUGAAAAGUGUAUGAUCCUCCGUGUACCCCCUUGCUUAGUUGUGUGGGUUCAUAUCCUUAGAGGUCAGUAAGUGACCUUGACCUGA